RNAcentral lists this ribosomal RNA (325 nucleotides) under uncultured eukaryote. RNAcentral's name for it is "partial 18S ribosomal RNA". It matches the Rfam family "Eukaryotic small subunit ribosomal RNA", at positions 1470 to 1796 of the family's 1831-position model. The record is from RNAcentral.
CCCUUAGAUGUUCUGGGCCGCACGCGCGCUACACUGAUGCAUUCAACGAGCCUAUCCUUGACCGACAGGUCCGGGUAAUCUUUGAAUCUGCAUCGUGACGGGGAUAGAUUAUUGCAAUUAUUAAUCUUCAACGAGGAAUGCCUAGUAGGCGCAAGUCAUCAGCUUGCGUCGAUUACGUCCCUGCCCUUUGUACACACCGCCCGUCGCUCCUACCGAUUGGGUGGGCUGGUGAAAUGUUCGGAUCGGCCGUUUGUCGCGGUUUCCGCGUCAUGUGGCUGAGAAGUUCAUUAAACCCUCCCACCGAGAGGAAGGAGAAGUCGUAACA